RNAcentral lists this ribosomal RNA (253 nucleotides) under uncultured bacterium. RNAcentral's name for it is "partial 16S ribosomal RNA". It matches the Rfam family "Bacterial small subunit ribosomal RNA", at positions 524 to 776 of the family's 1533-position model. The record is from RNAcentral.
UACGGGGGGGGCAAGCGUUGUUCGGAAUUACUGGGCGUAAAGGGCUCGUAGGUGGCCAACUAAGUCAGACGUGAAAUCCCCAGGCUCAACCUGGGAACUGCGUCUGAUACUGGAUGGCUUGAAUUCGGGAGAGGGAUGCAGAAUUCCAGGUGUAGCGGUGAAAUGCGUAGAUAUCUGGAGGAACACCGGUGGCGAAGGCGGCAUCCUGGACCAACACUGACACUGAUGAGCGAAAGCCAGGGGAGCAAACGGG